This 58-nucleotide transfer RNA is filed under the name Marmota marmota marmota (Alpine marmot). It matches the Rfam family "tRNA", at positions 8 to 63 of the family's 71-position model. Rfam says of the family: Transfer RNA (tRNA) molecules are approximately 80 nucleotides in length. Their secondary structure includes four short double-helical elements and three loops (D, anti-codon, and T loops). Lineage: Eukaryota; Metazoa; Chordata; Mammalia; Rodentia; Sciuridae. RNAcentral also lists the same sequence under 6 other names. The record is from Rfam by way of RNAcentral.
UAGCUCAGUUGGUAGAGUGCUUGCCUUGCAUGCACAAGGCCCUGGGUUCAAUUCCCAG